UGAAUCCAUGAAUUUAUAGGUAAACUCUUUCAACAAUUUGGUAAGGACCAUUGAAGUGACAUGCAUGUUUUUGAAGAGCCCUUUUAAAAGUAUGUUACUGACGAUAAGGUUGUAGUUUAAGGAAUACUAAUUGCCUUCCUAAAAUUCAAUGUCACGGCACUUAACAUUCACAACUUAAUGCAUGUGGUUGGAAACAGUUUGGAAAUUAAGCUU
RNAcentral lists this long non-coding RNA (213 nucleotides) under Carica papaya (papaya). RNAcentral describes it as "long non-coding RNA (CPAP_LNC008438)". Lineage: Eukaryota; Viridiplantae; Streptophyta; Magnoliopsida; Brassicales; Caricaceae. The record is from RNAcentral.